CACCGGGUAGAGCAGCUUGGUAGCUCGCAAAGCUCAUAACCUUGAGGUCACAGGUUCAAAUCCCAUCUCCGCAA
RNAcentral lists this transfer RNA (74 nucleotides) under Eucalyptus grandis. It matches the Rfam family "tRNA". From Rfam's summary of the family: Transfer RNA (tRNA) molecules are approximately 80 nucleotides in length. Their secondary structure includes four short double-helical elements and three loops (D, anti-codon, and T loops). The record is from Rfam by way of RNAcentral. Lineage: Eukaryota; Viridiplantae; Streptophyta; Magnoliopsida; Myrtales; Myrtaceae.